This 545-nucleotide ribosomal RNA is filed under the name Eleginops maclovinus (Patagonian blennie). RNAcentral describes it as "partial 12S ribosomal RNA". It matches the Rfam family "Bacterial small subunit ribosomal RNA", at positions 7 to 937 of the family's 1533-position model. The record is from RNAcentral. Lineage: Eukaryota; Metazoa; Chordata; Actinopteri; Perciformes; Eleginopidae.
CAAAGGCUUGGUCCUGACUUUACUACCAGCUUUAGCCGAACUUACACAUGCAAGUAUCCGCACCCCUGUGAGAAUGCCCACAGUUCCCCGCCCGGGAACAAGGAGCUGGUAUCAGGCACAUUUUCAGCCCAUGACACCUUGUUUAGCCACACCCCCAAGGGAACUCAGCAGUGAUAAAUAUUAAGCCAUGAGUGAAAACUUGACUUAGUAAAAGCUAAAAGGGCCGGUAAAACUCGUGCCAGCCACCGCGGUUAUACGAGAGGCCCAAGUUGAUAGUUUACGGCGUAAAGAGUGGUUAGGAAAAAAUUAACACUAAAGCCGAAUGCCCUCAAAGCUGUUAUACGCAUCCGAAGGCAAGAAGUUCAACCACGAAAGUGGCUUUAUUAAACCCUGAACCCACGAAAGCUAGGAAACAAACUGGGAUUAGAGACCCCACUAUGCCUAGCCGUAAACAUUGAUAGAGUAACACACCCCCUAUCCGCCUGGGAACUACGAGCACCAGCUUAAAACCCAAAGGACUUGGCGGUGCUUUAGAUCCUCUAGAG